Molecule: ribosomal RNA, 253 nt
Filed under: uncultured bacterium
Lineage: Bacteria
Description: partial 16S ribosomal RNA
Rfam family: Bacterial small subunit ribosomal RNA
Source: RNAcentral
UACGUAGGGCGCAAGCGUUAUCCGGAAUUAUUGGGCGUAAAGAGCUCGUAGGCGGUUUGUCGCGUCUGCCGUGAAAGUCCGGGGCUCAACUCCGGAUCUGCGGUGGGUACGGGCAGACUAGAGUGAUGUAGGGGAGACUGGAAUUCCUGGUGUAGCGGUGAAAUGCGCAGAUAUCAGGAGGAACACCGGUGGCGAAGGCGGAUCUCUGGGCCAUUACUGACGCUGAGGAGCGAAAGCGUGGGGAGCAAACAGG